CCGUGUGCGGGAAAAGGCCUCGGGUAAAAACCGAUUUUGGCAGGAACGAAAAUGACGGUACCUGCAGAAGAAGGUGCGGCCAACUACGUGCCAGCAGCCGCGGUGACACGUAGGCACCAAGCGUUGUCCGGAUUUAUUGGGCGUAAAGAGCUCGUAGGCGGUUCAGUAAGUCGGGUGUGAAAACUCAGGGCUUAACCCUGAGACGCCACUCGAUACUGCUGGGCUAGAAUUCGGUAGGGGAGUGGGGAAUUCCUGGUGUAGCGGUGAAAUGCGCAGAUAUCAGGAGGAACACCGGUGGCGAAGGCGCCACUCUGGGCCGAUAUUGACGCUGAGGAGCGAAAGCGUGGGUAGCAAACAGGAUUAGAUACCCUGGUAGUCCACGCCGUAAACGGUGGGCACUACGUGUGGGUUCCAACCAACGGGAUCCGUGCCGUCGCACACGCAUUAAGUGCCCCGCCUGGGGAGUACGGCCAAAAGGUUAAAACUCAAAGGAAUUGACGGGG
This 503-nucleotide ribosomal RNA is filed under the name uncultured bacterium. RNAcentral describes it as "bacterial SSU rRNA". It matches the Rfam family "Bacterial small subunit ribosomal RNA", at positions 397 to 918 of the family's 1533-position model. The record is from RNAcentral.